UUUGAAAUCUGGCCCCUUCGGGGUCCGAGUUGUAAUUUGCAGAGGGUGCUUUUGGUGUUGGCCGUGGUCUAAGUUCCUUGGAACAGGACGUCACAGAGGGUGAGAAUCCCGUACGUGGCCGCCGGCCCUCGCCUUGUAAAGCCCCUUCGACGAGUCGAGUUGUUUGGGAAUGCAGCUCUAAAUGGGAGGUAAAUUUCUUCUAAAGCUAAAUACCCGCCAGAGACCGAUAGCGCACAAGUAGAGUGAUCGAAAGAUGAAAAGCACUUUGGAAAGAGAGUGAAAAAGCACGUGAAAUUGUUGAAAGGGAAGCGCUUGCGGCCAGACGUGCCCGCGGUUGUUCAUCUGGGCUCUCGCCCGGUGCACUCCUCCGCGGGCAGGCCAGCAUCAGUUUGGGCGGUCGGACAAAGGUCUCUGUCACGUACCACCCCUCGGGGUGGCCUUAUAGGGGAGACGCAACACGGCCAGCCUGGACUGAGGUUCCGCGCAUCUGCUAGGAUGCUGGCGUAAUGGCAGCAAGCGGCCCGUCUUGAAACACGGACCAAGGAGUCUAACAUCUAUGCGAGUGUUUGGGUGUCAAGCCCGAGCGCGUAAUGAAAGUGAACGGAGGUGGGAACCCCUCGGGGCGCACCAUCGACCGAUCCUGAUGUCUUCGGAUGGAUUUGAGUAAGAGCAUAGCUGUUGGGACCCGAAAGAUGGUGAACUAUGCCUGAAUAGGGUGAAGCCAGAGG
Molecule: ribosomal RNA, 728 nt
Filed under: Dendryphion europaeum
Lineage: Eukaryota; Fungi; Ascomycota; Dothideomycetes; Pleosporales; Torulaceae
Description: LSU rRNA
Rfam family: Eukaryotic large subunit ribosomal RNA
Source: RNAcentral